GUCAACUGGUCAUAUUACCACCAUUCAGAAGCAUGUAGCCUCAAUGUUGGAAGAGGCUUCAGAAAGCACAGCAGAAGCAUUAAAUCCAGUCCAACAGGGAUUGGAUCUGCAUCAAGUAGCAUCCAAACACAAGGACUUAGAGGGUGUGAACAAAGAAGGUCUGUUGGAAGAGAGGAAUUGAAAUUGACAAGAUGAACACGGAUGCUGGGAUGAGUCUG
Molecule: long non-coding RNA, 218 nt
Filed under: Homo sapiens (human)
Lineage: Eukaryota; Metazoa; Chordata; Mammalia; Primates; Hominidae
Description: HSALNT0074000
Source: RNAcentral